Molecule: ribosomal RNA, 1441 nt
Filed under: uncultured organism
Description: 16S ribosomal RNA
Rfam family: Bacterial small subunit ribosomal RNA
Source: RNAcentral
CAGGCUUAACACAUGCAAGUCGAGGGGCAGCAUGGUCUUAGCUUGCUAAGGCCGAUGGCGACCGGCGCACGGGUGAGUAACGCGUAUCCAACCUGCCUUACACUCUUGGACAGCCUUCUGAAAGGGAGAUUAAUACAAGAUGUUAUCAUGAGUAAGCAUUUUCGCAUGAUUAAAGGUUUACCGGUGUAAGAUGGGGAUGCGUUCCAUUAGAUAGUAGGCGGGGUAACGGCCCACCUAGUCUUCGAUGGAUAGGGGUUCUGAGAGGAAGGUCCCCCACAUUGGAACUGAGACACGGUCCAAACUCCUACGGGAGGCAGCAGUGAGGAAUAUUGGUCAAUGGACGAGAGUCUGAACCAGCCAAGUAGCGUGAAGGAUGAAGGUUCUAUGGAUUGUAAACUUCUUUUAUACGGGAAUAAACGGAUCCACGUGUGGAUUUUUGCAUGUACCGUAUGAAUAAGGAUCGGCUAACUCCGUGCCAGCAGCCGCGGUAAUACGGAGGAUCCGAGCGUUAUCCGGAUUUAUUGGGUUUAAAGGGAGCGUAGAUGGGUUGUUAAGUCAGUUGUGAAAGUUUGCGGCUCAACCGUAAAAUUGCAAUUGAUACUGGCAGUCUUGAGUACAGUUGAGGUAGGCGGAAUUCGUGGUGUAGCGGUGAAAUGCUUAGAUAUCACGAAGAACUCCGAUUGCGAAGGCAGCUUACUAACCUGUAACUGACAUUGAUGCUCGAAAGUGUGGGUAUCAAACAGGAUUAGAUACCCUGGUAGUCCACACGGUAAACGAUGAAUACUCGCUGUAGGCGAUAUACAGUCUGCGGCCAAGCGAAAGCAUUAAGUAUUCCACCUGGGGAGUACGCCGGCAACGGUGAAACUCAAAGGAAUUGACGGGGGCCCGCACAAGCGGAGGAACAUGUGGUUUAAUUCGAUGAUACGCGAGGAACCUUACCCGGGCUUAAAUUGCAACCGAAUAUGGCGGAAACGCUAUAGCUAGCAAUAGCGGUUGUGAAGGUGCUGCAUGGUUGUCGUCAGCUCGUGCCGUGAGGUGUCGGCUUAAGUGCCAUAACGAGCGCAACCCUUGCCGAUAGUUACUAACAGGUCAUGCUGAGGACUCUGUCGGGACUGCCAUCGUAAGAUGUGAGGAAGGUGGGGAUGACGUCAAAUCAGCACGGCCCUUACGUCCGGGGCUACACACGUGUUACAAUGGGGGGUACAGAGGGCUGCUACCACGCAAGUGGAUGCCAAUCCCAAAAACCUCUCUCAGUUCGGAUUGAAGUCUGCAACCCGACUUCAUGAAGCUGGAUUCGCUAGUAAUCGCGCAUCAGCCACGGCGCGGUGAAUACGUUCCCGGGCCUUGUACACACCGCCCGUCAAGCCAUGGGAGCCGGGGGUACCUGAAGUGCGUAACCGCAAGGAGCGCCCUAGGGUAAAACUGGUGACUGGGGCUAAGU